UACAGAGGGGGCAAGCGUUGUUCGGAAUUACUGGGCGUAAAGGGCGCGUAGGCGGCCUGUUAAGUCGAACGUGAAAUCCCCGGGCUCAACCCGGGAACUGCGUCCGAUACUGGCAGGCUUGAAUUCGGGAGAGGGAUGUGGAAUUCCAGGUGUAGCGGUGAAAUGCGUAGAUAUUCGCAAGAACACCAGUGGCGAAGGCGGCUCACUGGCCCGGUACUGACGCUGAGGUGCGAAAGCGUGGGGAUCAAACAGG
Molecule: ribosomal RNA, 253 nt
Filed under: uncultured bacterium
Lineage: Bacteria
Description: partial 16S ribosomal RNA
Rfam family: Bacterial small subunit ribosomal RNA
Source: RNAcentral